Molecule: ribosomal RNA, 913 nt
Filed under: uncultured candidate division SR1 bacterium
Lineage: Bacteria; Candidatus Absconditibacteriota
Description: bacterial SSU rRNA
Rfam family: Bacterial small subunit ribosomal RNA
Source: RNAcentral
GAGUUUGAUCCUGGCUCAGGAUGAACGCUAGCGGAACGCCUAACACAUGCAAGUCAAACGGUCGCCUCGGCGACAGUGGCAAACGAGCGAGUAACGCGUACCUAAUCUGCCCUUGAGUUGGGAACAACUACGGAGACGUAGCUAAUUCCCAAUGUGCUCACGACGGUGAAAUUCCGAUGUGAGGAAAGAUUUAUCGCUCAAGGAGGGGGGUGCGUCCUAUCAGGUUGUUGGUAGGGUAAUAGCCUACCAAGCCUAUGACGGGUAGCCGGUCUGAGAGGAUGUCCGGCCGCGAUGGGACUGAGAUACGGCCCAUACUCCUACGGGAGGCAGCAGUGGGGAAUUUUGCACAAUGGACGCAAGUCUGAUGCAGCGAUUCCGCGUGGAGGAUGAAGCAUUACGGUGUGUAAACUCCUUUUCUGGUGGAAGACGAAUGAUGGUACACCAGGAAUAAGAGACGGCUAACUACGUGCCAGCAGCCGCGGUAAUACGUAGGUCUCAAGCGUUAUCCGGAUUUACUGGGCGUAAAGAGUCCGUAGCCCGAUAUGUAAGUCAGUUUUCAGAUACCCCGACUCAAUCGGGGAAAGGGAAUAGAUACUGCAUAUCUAGAGAGUAUUGGAGGUUAGUGGAAUUUCCGGUGGAGCGGUGAAAUGCGCUGAUAUCGGAAAGAACGCCGAAAGCGAAAGCAGCUAACUAUGAUCACUCUGACGGUGAGGGACGACAGCAUGGGGAGCAAACGGGAUUAGAUAUCCCGGUAGUCCAUGCCGUAAAUUAUGUCUGCUAGGUGUUUCUCCGGUAAUUAUAUUUGUAUCGUAUAAAUGUAAUUACCGGAGGAGUGCCGUAAUCUAACGAGUUAAGCAGAUCGCCUGGGUAGUAUAUUCGCAAGAAUGAAACUCAAAGGGAUAGGCGGGGGAAC